AUUGAACGCUGGCGGCAUGCCUUACACAUGCAAGUCGAACGGCAGCACGGGAGCAAUCCUGGUGGCGAGUGGCGAACGGGUGAGUAAUAUAUCGGAACGUGCCCAGUCGUGGGGAUAACGUAGCGAAAGCUACGCUAAUACCGCAUACGAUCUAUGGAUGAAAGCGGGGGAUCGCAAGACCUCGCGCGAUUGGAGCGGCCGAUAUCAGAUUAGGUAGUUGGUGAGGUAAAGGCUCACCAAGCCGACGAUCAGUAGCUGGUCUGAGAGGACGACCAGCCACACUGGGACUGAGACACGGCCCAGACUCCUACGGGAGGCAGCAGUGGGGAAUUUUGGACAAUGGGCGCAAGCCUGAUCCAGCAAUGCCGCGUGCAGGAUGAAGGCCUCGGUUGUAACUGUCUUUGUUACGGUAACGGAAACCGGUAGAGCUCUAAUACAGUUUGUCUAAUGACGGUACCGUAA
This 462-nucleotide ribosomal RNA is filed under the name uncultured bacterium. RNAcentral describes it as "bacterial SSU rRNA". It matches the Rfam family "Bacterial small subunit ribosomal RNA", at positions 30 to 483 of the family's 1533-position model. The record is from RNAcentral.